This 422-nucleotide long non-coding RNA is filed under the name Heterocephalus glaber (naked mole-rat). RNAcentral's name for it is "lncRNA (ENSHGLG00100045390.1)". Lineage: Eukaryota; Metazoa; Chordata; Mammalia; Rodentia; Bathyergidae. The record is from RNAcentral.
GUGCUAACACAAAAGGCAGGAAAUAUGAGAUGUCGCCGUGACGCCACCAUGGCUACCUAGCCCCUCGCACCGCCAGGCUGCUGGAUGAGGAAAAACACCAGUUUGAACUGAGAUGAACACAUGAGUAUAGGAGAAAUUUCCUCUUCAGGGCAAGUGGGGACAGACACGAACAGAGGCCUUCCAAACAGGGUCAGCUGAGAGAUGGAGUGCAGUGCCCUUGCGAGGCCCCUCAGAGAAGUACUCCUCCACCCCACCCAUCAGCAAAUCAAAAUCCCAUAAAGACCAGGGCAAAAGGAGGCCCCAGAGUAUUCUCUGUCUUUCUCUCCAUCUGUGUGCCUCUCUCCAGUAUUGGGAGAUAGAAUCCAGGGCUUCAUUCAUGCUAAUAAACAAGCACUCUACCACUGAACUACAUCCCCAGCCUU